Molecule: ribosomal RNA, 468 nt
Filed under: uncultured bacterium
Lineage: Bacteria
Description: partial 16S ribosomal RNA
Rfam family: Bacterial small subunit ribosomal RNA
Source: RNAcentral
GACGAACGCUGGCGGCGUGCUUAACACAUGCAAGUCGAACGGAAAGGCCCUGCUUUUGUGUGGUGCUCGAUUGGCGAGCGGGGGAGUAACACGUGAGGAACCUCCCCUUGACUGUGGGAGAACUUCAGGAAACUCGGUCGAAUACCGGAGAUGAUCUCCUGCAGCAUGUUGUGCGUUGGAAAGUGUCGGUGGUUGGGGCUGGAUUGGCGGGUUAUGAGCUGGUUGGGGGGGUAGUGACUUCCAAAGGCUUUGACGGGUAGCCGGCCUGAGAGGGUGACCGGCCACAUUGGGCCUGAGAUACGGCCCAGACUGCUAUGGGAGGCAGUAGUGGGGAGUAUUGCAGAAUGGGGGGAAGUGUGAUACAGAAGCGCCGGGUGCGGGAUGCCGGCCUUCGAGUUAAAAACAGCUUUGGCCGGUGACGAAGCGUGCGUGACGGUAAUGGGUAAAGAAGCCACGGCUAACUACGUG